UUNGAAUUUCGGGUAGUCUAAUAUGUUGGUCGUGCCUUGGUACGUACUGGUCGUCUAUUGGUUUCUACCUUACUGAAGAACCUCGAUGUCAUUAAUUUGGUGUCUUGGGGAAUCAGGACUGUUACUUUGAAAAAAUUAGAGUGUUUAAAGCAAGCUCGCGCUUGAAUACAUUAGCAUGGAAUAAUGAAAUAGGACGUUUGAUUUUAUUUUGUUGGUUUCUAGGAUCGACGUAAUGAUUAAUAGGGAUAGUUGGGGGCAUUAGUAUUCAAUUGUCAGAGGUGAAAUUCUUGGAUUUAUUGAAGACUAACUACUGCGAAAGCAUUUGCCAAGGAUGUUUUCAUUAAUCAAGAACGAAAGUUAGGGGAUCGAAGACGAUCAGAUACCGUCGUAGUCUUAACCAUAAACUAUGCCGACUAGGGAUCGGAUGAUGUUAAUUUUUAAUGACUC
RNAcentral lists this ribosomal RNA (447 nucleotides) under fungal sp. RNAcentral describes it as "SSU rRNA". It matches the Rfam family "Eukaryotic small subunit ribosomal RNA", at positions 634 to 1077 of the family's 1831-position model. Lineage: Eukaryota; Fungi. The record is from RNAcentral.